This 497-nucleotide ribosomal RNA is filed under the name uncultured bacterium. Its description in RNAcentral is "partial 16S ribosomal RNA". It matches the Rfam family "Bacterial small subunit ribosomal RNA", at positions 28 to 507 of the family's 1533-position model. The record is from RNAcentral.
GACGAACGCUGGCGGCGUGCCUAAUACAUGCAAGUUGAGCGCUGAAGGUUGGUACUUGUACCGACUGGAUGAGCAGCGAACGGGUGGGUAACGCGUGGGGAAUCUGCCUUUGAGCGGGGGACAACAUUUGGAAACGAAUGCUAAUACCGCAUAAAAACUUUAAACACAAGUUUUAAGUUUGAAAGAUGCAAUUGCAUCACUCAAAGAUGAUCCCGCGUUGUAUUAGCUAGUUGGUGAGAUAAAGGCUCACCAAGGCGAUGAUACAUAGCCGACCUGAGAGGGUGAUCGGCCACAUUGGGACUGAGACACGGCCCAAACUCCUACGGGAGGCAGCAGUAGGGAAUCUUCGGCAAUGGACGAAAGUCUGACCGAGCAACGCCGCGUGAGUGAAGAAGGUUUUCGGAUCGUAAAACUCUGUUGGUAGAGAAGAACGUUGGUGAGAGUGGAAAGCUCAUCAAGUGACGGUAACUACCCAGAAAGGGACGGCUAACUACGUG